AACGCAGCGUGAGCCCUGCCAUGUUGGAACUGUUCUUCGAGCCUCAGCCUUUUCGAUUAAAGCCGCUUCAUGAAUAACGAAGGAUAAAUAAAGUCAAUGUCGCCCUUUUCUCAGAGAAAUGCAUUCUGGUUAUAAUGCUCAAAAUCCUUGACUUGAAAAAGAUGAGGCUUGGCUUCUCUGUGUUGGCAAGGCGCCCUGGGAGAACUGGCUUUCCAGCAUGCAUGCAACGGAAUGCAAUAUGGACAGUGACAUUAAUCAGACUGGGUCCUUUCCUCGUCUCUGCAAAGAACAGCUUUGCCAUAAGGUGAAGAGACAGGGCUGUUUUAUCCUGGCUGGAUUCCUCUCCCUCUGUUGUUGGGGAACAAGGGGCUCUGAACUUGGAACAUUUAUAAUAAUGUUUAGUAACAAGUAAAGCACCCUGGUCAGAUUUCUGGAGGGAAAAGCAGUAGGAGGUUGGAAUUCACCAUUUGAUUUUCGUUUAGGAAAUGAAGCUUUUUCUUUUUCUCUUGCUCUGGCGUCUCUCCUGAGUUUUAUGUCAGGAAACGUAAAGCUGCUGAUAGCCUGUUGCUGAAAUCAAGUUCAGGCUUUUUUCCUCUCUCUUCCUCUCUCUGGUUUCCCUCCCUGAAACUUGGGUUCAUGACAGCUUGUUGUUGGGCAGGGCAUUAGCCUUUUGUAAUUUAUUGCUUUUAGAUUAAAUCUGGGGAAACUCAAUAUUGCAGUUGAAUGAUUAGAGCAAUACCCCUUGGAGUCAUAAAUUUUCUUUGGUGCUGUGCAUCUCCAGAUCAUGUUUCCCUUCUAAUUACAUUUACAUAAAUGAUAUUCUGUAAAAUUAAAUUAACAUUCAAACGGUUACACUGGCAGAGAGAGACAAAAAUUAGUUACCAAGUUGCAGCUCCUAAAAAAAAAUCUAGUUCUUUCAUAAUAUGAAUCACUACCCUCUCUCAAGUGUCAGCAAUCAACAAAACCUCGGCUCCAACACUGCGCAGGGAUGUUUGCCACCAGCUAAUGGAGAAGUUUUGUUUCUUUCUUGGAGAUUUAGACUGUAAGCCUCAUUGGAAAGUGACUAUGGUGACUUGGCCACUAAGGAAUUGCUAAUAUAGCUUCAAGCUUCUUGCCUCGAAAUUCUGCAGUGAUCAUGGGCAAGGUCCAGAUUGAAUAUGUACACAGAACUUCAUUCUGGUCUGUGCCUUCCUCACCACCUGCCUCAUACUUCUGUGAGCCUUGGUUUUCCAGUCUAGAAGUUAACAGAGGGAUGGUCACAGGUGACAUCCAGAAUCUCCCUGCUUUUUUAUAAUGUAUUGGACCACUUCAGUAAGUUUCCAUCUUUAAGAGUUUGGUUGCAUUAUUUGGAGGGCUUGAAUCUGAAUCAUUAGAAGAUCUCUCACUUUCAUGUCCUGGCUAAGAAAAUGUGUCACUUCCUCGUUGACUAUGUUUACAUGAAUGAUGCUACAACGACGUCAAGAACCAUUUCCAUUUUAUCUUUCAGUAAAAUCAAUCCGUUCCAUUUGUGAGCAUGGUUAGACCUAAAAUGAGAGUUAAAUGUGUAAUAAAAGAUACUGUCCCUGGAGAGGAUGCUUAACCAAAACAUUACCCCUAGUAUCCCUGAGCAGUGUGAUUGUUUUCCUAUUUAUUAUUGUUUGAAUUUCUUAAGAGUCAACAUGUAUCAUUUUUACACAAAGUAGUAAACUGCUCCCAAAGACAUGUCUUUUCUGGUUUGGGGGGCUCAGGUGAAGAAAGAGGUAAAUGGAAUGUUAGCAGCUUUUGUCUUGACAGCCUUUAUUCACCCAGUUAAGCACCAGGAUCCAUGACUCAUCACCUGACUUUAGCAACACCUUGGACACAAUCAUACCCAGGAUCAUAAUACGUGUAUUGACAUUUCUGAUAAAACCUCUCUGAGAGGCGUCCACUCUCAAAAUAAUCUUUCAGGCUUAUGCUUAUGAAGAAGAUGAUGAUGGUACAAGAGGAAAACCAGUACCUCUUUUAAAAGAAGCCUGUGGUUUGCCCAUCCUUUUCUGGAUAUGUUUGUAUUUGCCUUCCGCUCUGCUUGACAGGAGCUUUCACAGCUAGAAUUCACUUGUGCUUCAACUAUGCAUUUAACACAUGUGAACUGAGCACCUACAAUGUGCCAGGCUACUUGGAUUGUCACUGGACAUAGAAUGGGAAGGAAAAAACCAAUGGAACUCUUGUUCUCAUAGAGAUGACAGUCUGCUUGGAAAGAUAGCUCUUACUCAAUAUCGUAUUGAUAAAUGUUUAAUUAUAAACUGCGAUUGGUGAGCUAAAGAAGAAAUACAGCCCUGGGAGAACAUGAAUUAAAAGAAUUUACCCUUGACGAAAGAGGAGAACUGAAGAUGGAUGAUUUAAAGGGAAGUGAGCUGAGAUGAGCAGAGAUGUCAAAGAUGCAGGAGUGGGGAGGUGAUGAUGCCAGCCUGAAGGAACACAGGAGCCAGUGCCCUGCACCAAGAAUGUAUGGUCAGGCCAUUCCAAAUGGCUGUUCUCUUGCUCUCCAUUCAUCCCCUGCUUCACCAGGGUCUGCUUCACAUGUAACUAUCCAAUCCUCAUAAUUAUGAGGCUUAAUUUGUCCCUGGUAAUUUAGCCCACCUGACAUCCAUUCCCCCUAUAAAUGACACCCUCCUUCUCCCUGGAGUAGUGAUGACUGCUGCCAUGUCUGUCCUCUGUUUGCUGUACUUGUUAACAUGUUGCUCCAGGACAUCUUGUAUAAGAUCCUCCUGUUGAAUAAACCAUUCACUUCUCUA
Molecule: long non-coding RNA, 2753 nt
Filed under: Sus scrofa (pig)
Lineage: Eukaryota; Metazoa; Chordata; Mammalia; Artiodactyla; Suidae
Description: lncRNA (ENSSSCG00065067847.1)
Source: RNAcentral